ACUAUUUAAAUCAUAAUAAUUCGAAUUUUAAAACUUCAAUUACUCCCUACCUGUGAAUCUCAUGUUGUUUUUGAUGAUUGAUUUGGGUUCUACUCUUCGAUAUCUUCGAUUUGACUAUUCGCACGCUUGAUUCUGACUCCAAUAACACCUUCAAAUCUUCGUUUGAUUAUGAAGAACACGAAGAACACCGCUCGGUUUCUCUCGGUAUUCGUGCAGAGAAACUGGUGAAAUGAUUUUACGGGUGAAAAUAAGCUCUAGAAAGGUCUAUUUAUAUUUACAAAUAAUUGGUACCCCUUUGGAUCGUUUAUGACAUGAAAAUACGUAUUUAAUAGCUUUAUAUUAAUAAAGCGGGGUCCAAUCGGUACUGGUUUUCGAGAUAAUCAUCAAAACGGGGCUUUUUAACUCAAUUAUUGGUCUGCGGGUCCCAUUGCAAUUAUUACAAGAUAAGGAUGAAUAUAAUAAUCAAAAUAUCUCGUUUCACGCUUAUCGAGACAAACUGGAUAAUUAUCAACAAUUAAAAUACCCGAAAAACUCCGCCGGACCGACUCCGGGGAAAACCGUACUCCGGAUCGAAAAAGUCAAAACACGAAAAGUGUCCGGAAUAUUCAAAUUAGGCUAAAGGUCAGUUUUGUUGAAACUUCCGGGAAGAAAAUUUGCUACCUCGUUACGAGUGGACGGUUUUACGGAAGUCAAAUAAUUAAUAAAUAAAUAUAAAUAUACGCAAUUAAAUCCGUAAAUCGAUUAUAAAAUCAUCUAACAUUCCAUAAAUCGAUAUGAAAAUAUCCAAAUAAACUAUAUUUUCUCCUGAGCAUAUAGAAAUUGAAAUCUCUCAAAUACGAACACAUAUGAGCAGUUAACGCAAUAAACCAGAUAAUAUAAAAUUCACAAAAAUUCAUAUAUUAAUCAUAUAAUACUCAUAAUUAACCAUAAUUAAUUAACCAACAAAUCCACCAAUACCACUUACUCACAUCACACAUAUAUUCACAUAAUAUUCAUACAGAAUUUUCGAAACAAUAUAUGAAAAUCACUUUUGAAAAUACAAUUAUUUAUCAAUAACACAAUAACCCGGGGUUUAAAUAUAAAACCUUGAAAACUCCUUAAACUGGAAUAAAAUAUUAAAUCUUAUUCCUUACUUUUUAAGAAAAUCAUUUAUAAUAUUAAUAAAGAUAUUUUUAAAAUCCGGGUUAUUACAAUCUACCCUCCUUAUAGGGAUUCCGUCCUCGGAAUCAGAGAAAGAAGGAGGACGCAAUAUUUGUAAAAUCCAUAUUAAUCCACAAAACAAGUAUAAUCAUAUAAAACUAUUCACAUAAUCAAUUCACUUUUCAACUAAAGCCAACAAUAAUAUUUAGACAGAUAGAUUUAUAACAAUCAAAUCUAAAUUUAAAAAUAUGGGAUAUUACAUUCUACCCCCCUUAUAAGGAUUCCGUCCUCGGAAUCCUCCGAAGAAACUAAAACGUAUCAUUUAUAAGAUCGUGGUACACGCUUCAUAAUAUCACAUGCUCAUCCGCCUUUAAUUAACUUUGGCAUACCUUCAAAGUUAAAGAAAUAGGAAAAUCAAAGCCUUCACAAUUGCAAACUUCAUUUCCCAAGAAUCAAUCUUUGGGAAUUUCGGAGGAACAAGAUGUUUUCAAAAUAGGUCACAUUGGAAUACAAGAGUGACUGGGAGAUCAAUACGAUCAAAUGAACUUAAUGUUGCGUGUCCAUAUUAGACACUACUAAAGGUUGUUAACCUUCUUGUAAUCACAACACACACAAGUGAUGGCGUCCCAUCCAACUCCUAUCACACAGACAGGUAUACCUUGUGUCCCCUAUAAAUAGGGUUGUUCAUCCCAAUCAAAUUGAAGAAAUGUUAAGGAAUAUCAGAGAAUAUCAAUGAAUAUCAACAAUAUCAAAGAACACUAAGGGAUAUCAAGGUAGAUGAAAGGGUAUCAAGGAAUGUCAAGAAAUGUCAAACAAUAUCAAGGAACAUCACUAUCUCUUUACAACAAACCUUUAUCACACAUCUUUGCUUUCCAACUCAUACCAAUAAUCAAUACCAAUGUCAUCUUAGAAUUUGAGAAAUUGAAGAUCUCAUUUAUCAAAACUUUUGUAGAAAAGAUAUCAUGAUAAUAUCUCACUGAUGAGAAAACAAUCAAAAGAACCUUUAGUUGAAGAGAGGUAUUGCCAAGGUCUUCUCAAAUUCCCACUCUACUUUACGAAAUCGUUAUUCGAUUUAUGUCAUCCUUUCAACGUUCUCGAUAAUCAAUCGAUUUAACUCGUAAUAGCCUCAUAAGAUGUCAUCGUAGACGUUAUCGUUCGUAAUAAGUCUGACCCAAGUAGUUCACGUUCUCAUGCUUCAUCCAGUUGCCUUUGAAGUCCAUAACACCACACGUAGCAUAUCUUCGAUUUUCUGGAUCGUCGCCCUGUGGGUUAUGGGCCCACCUUGUCCCGCUUAACUUAAAACGUCGUCGUGAGAAUUCACAUUCUAAAUUACUCGCAAAUAUCGCUUCUAAUAACCUGAAUCAACUUCACUUACUCUCUAUCAUACACUUCUCAUCUAUCAACCUCUAUAUACAAGUCUCUCCUUCUAAUUCUGUGCAACUCAUAUCUUACACUAACUCUUCAUAUCUCACAAAAACAACAUACCUCUUCCAAAUAUCUAACAUGGUCAACAUACUAUGAACCAUGCAUCUUUAUCCUUCUCAAAUCAAUACCAUAGACCAUUUUCAACUAUGCAGUAUAGUCAGAAUACUCUGAACUCUGCAUUUUCACCAUUCUCAACUCAGUCAUUCACUAUCAACUUUUCUAUCUGGGUCUAAUCUUGACCUUUCUCACAAUUCAUCAUCUCAAUUAGUCAACAUACCAAAAAUCAUAUGUCUAACUUAGGAAUCAAAAUCUCUCCAAACUUAUGCACUCAACUUAAUCAUCUAACUAGAUUCUAUUUCUCUAUCACAUCCCUAGACUAUUUCUAAAUAGUCUCACAAUACCUCUAUCCGAGGUCACCCAACAUUCUUCUCUAGAAAACCUAUAACUAUGAUCUAUAUUCUAAUUUCAAAUACUUAUAACCUGUUGCUCUGAUACCAACUGUGACAGUCCAGGAAUCCGGGGGUCUGGAUUCUGACGUCACCACAUAAAACCCAUUUUUAAACACUUUUGAAAUCCUGUAUUUUUUUUUUUUAAAGAUAAUGAAUCCAAAUAAUUUAAAACUUGAAAACAUUUAAUAAAAGAUUUGAAAGACGUUAAAUAAAAGAUUUAAAAGAGAACAUCUUCACCCCCAAAACAACAGGAUCGCUUCCAGGUUACAGUAUUGAAAUUAGAAUCAACCACUAUUAUUACACAACAUCUCUUACCAAAUCAGAUCAUCUUCGAUAAGAAGAAUCACUGUCAACUAUUCCAGCUAUGACUUACACUUGAAUCUCUAUAGCACAGCUCUAGCUUGCACCAACCUCAUCAACUUUCCUGAACACUCCUCGACCACUGGAUCCUCAACUCUGUCUCCUCGCCUAGCAUUAGCCUUAUUCACAAUCUCAAUCAAUCAUCUCAUCUUUAAGCCUUUCUGAAAUGGUUAGAAAGGAAUAGCAAGGGUGAGCAACAAUGCUCAGCAAGUAAUAAUAAACAAUGAUAGUUCUGAAAUGAUAUAAUAGAAGUUCACGAGUUCAAGAUAUAAGAGGAUUCAACCUGAGUUCAUGAGUUCAUGGUAUUGUAUAGAAUGAUUUACAAUACCUUGCAGCAUUUAAACUGAGAAAUUCAAUCUUUCCAAAGAAUUAUUGAAUUGGACUAUCACAUUUUAAUUAAAACCAAGGUUAGGCAGCUGAUCAGUUCCGCACUAACCCCGAGCAGGCCCCGCCAUGCUCUAUCACUGGAUCCAAGGCACUCAUUGGCCUAACAUGACCACGAAUCUGGUCCACAGGUUUAUAUAAAAACAAUAAUCCAAUUCUCUAAUUCAAUUCAAGAAGCCAAUGUAAAUUAACAGAACAUCAUCAUAAAUAUCAUCAACAACAGAAUAAUUCCAAUUCAAACUUUGAUAAUAAUCUAUUCAUAAAUCAUGAUCCAUCAUUUCAUAAAUCACAGUUCAGGAAAUCCUCAACUAUUCAGUAUCCUCCAUUAUCGGCUAAGCAACUGAAUUUAGCCUGCUAAACCAGCAUGACAAUGGCGGGUUGAAUAAUCAAGAAGAUCCCAAUUCAUUCAAAGCUCUAACUAUCACUGAGCAACACAUGCUUCAAUGACAAUCUGAACUUCGAAUUAAUUUGUAAAACGGAAAUUCUUUAGAAACUUGAAGAUUAGAAAGAAUGGGUCAGAAUACUCGCACUUUCGAACAUUGAAAAGAAAGGUAUGAAUACUUGAAACAUAUACCAAAGGAAUGGAUCAGAAUAUUUGCAAUAUAUCCAAGAGAAAGGUUUAGGAUACUUGCCUUAAAUCUGACUCCAGUCUCACAUCUCAAUCUCAUCUUUCCACUUUCACAAUCUAUGCAUCUCAUAGUCUCUAGACCAUCUCUGGCUAUACUCUAUCUACCGUACAUCUUCGCUUCGCUUACUCGAUUCAUCCCUUAUUCGCUUUGUAACACCACGUGACUUUCUGAACGUCUUCGGGCAUACACGUCUCGUCCAAAUCCUUUACGAGAAUAAGAUAACACUAUAAUCACUAAACAAUCGAUCGCAUAUACAUCUCACGUAUAUCGAUACCCACUUAUAUAUCCCUUUAAACUUAUCAGAUACCACGUAACACAUAAGCAUGCUUUGACUCUAACAUAUAGUCAAUCAUAUUCCACAUAACAUAUCACCAAUCAAUUAUCAUAUAAAUCCUUAUCGAAAAUCCGACAUCGUCUCGUCUAUGUAUAAGACUAUCCACCUAUUAUCCUAUCUCAAUCAUUAAUCAACCAACAAAAUCCAAUAGCUAUAAUCCAUAUAUUCUUAUCCAAUAUCAAUCAUACGAAUCAUUUAUCACUUCACAAUAUCAAAACUAACACGUACUUCACAUAAUCAUCACCUGAUAGCACUUAGAUCACAUAUUAUCACAUUAUGCAUACUUAUCAACAAUUAUUCACCUUAUAGACUCAGCCAUAUAGUCACAUCAUAUUAAAAUAGACGUUAUAAGCUUCUGUCUCUCUUUCGUUUCACUUGAUUCCGACUUACGGAUCAAAAGUUAUGCUCAAAACAGUUUUCUCACUCUCCUAUCGGCACAUAACACAUCCAACCAAUAGCAGACAACACACAACACAUAAGGUUUCCCAUCCCAAUUGAUAUUAAAUCAAGUCUUGGGUUAAAAAUGAUUUUUCGGGAAUUUUCUGGAAUUUUUAAACAUUUUUCGGAAUUAAAAUCGAUAAAAGAAUCACUUUUCGAAUAAAUAAUCAAGUCCCAAAUACUUGAAAUUGGACUUGAAAUCAUUCAUAAACAAUUAUCGAGCCUUGAAAAUAAUUUGGAAAAAUAUUUUAAAGCUCGAAACUAUUUUUCGGAAUUUUUAAAUCAAAAAGGAUUAAUUAAAUCCAAUUAAUUAAUCAAUUAAAAUCAAUUAAUAAUUAAUUAAAAUAAUUAAUCAAUUAAUAUUUAAAUUAAUUGACCAAUUAAAAUAAUUAAUUACUAAUUAAAAUUAAUUAAUAAACUAAUUUAGAUUUAUUUUUGAAUAAAGAAAUAAUUAAAAACUAUUUUUGGAAUUUAAAAUAAUUAAAUAAAACAAUUUUAGAAAAUUAAAUCAAAAGGUUUAUUUUGUAAACUUUUGAAAGUUUUGUCCAGGGUUUAAAGUGCAACUUUUCAAAGUUACAGGGGGUAAUUCAUAAGUUUCAGAACCUGAGUACAAAAACUUCAUCAUCUUCAAAACUUCGGUGACCAAACAGCAAUAAGCCGCCGGCCACCACACUAACUCGCCGGAAAUUCGUUUCCAGGCGUCCUCCACUCACCAUCUACUCCAGAUAAGUAGUACACACACCCAUAAAUCAAUCCCCCAUCUUUAAUUAGGCAGAAGUCGCGCGAAUUCGCCGGAAAAUCCGGCCGAAGUCGGCGACUUCCCGCCGCCGAUGGCGGCGAUUCGAGCCACCUCCGCUCAAACCAAGCACACCAGCAUACUCCCCUUUCUCUCCUCUUUCUAUUCAUAUAUACCACUACUNUUCCACUACUUCCCAGACUUAACGGAUCAAAAUUCCGGCGAAGAGCUUGAGUUUUCCGGCGAGGAACCUCAAGAACACCAAGAACACUCAACUCAAGAAUUAAACCACUGUUUCUAUAUGAUUCCGAACCCCAAAUUCAACAUAUAAUAUACCAAAACGACGAGAAAAGCACGUACUACAACAUGGUAUCAUCAAAAUCAUCAAACAAUCACGUUUGCAAAAAUUCACUAUUUAAAUCAUAAUAAUUCGAAUUUUAAAGCUCCAAUUAUUCCCUACCUGUGAAUCUCAUGUUGUUUUUGAUGAUUGAUUUGGGUUCUACUCUUCGAUAUCUUCGAUUUGACUAUUUGCACGCUUGAUUCUGACUCCAAUAACACCUUCAAAUCUUCAUUUGAUUAUGAAGAACGCGAAGAACACCGCUCGGUUUCUCUCGGUAUUCGUGCAGAGAAACUGGUGAAAUGAUUUUACGGUGGAAAAUAAGGUGUAGAAAGGUUUAUUUAUAUUUACAAAUAAUUGGUACCCCUUUGGAUCGUAUAUGACAUGAAAAUACGUAUUUAAUAGGCGAAGAACACCGCUCGGUUUCUCUCGGUAUUCGUGCAGAGAAACUGGUGAAAUGAUUUUACGGUGGAAAAUAAGGUGUAGAAAGGUUUAUUUAUAUUUACAAAUAAUUGGUACCCCUUUGGAUCGUAUAUGACAUGAAAAUACGUAUUUAAUAGCUUUAUAUUAAUAAAGCGGGAUCCAAUCGGUACCGGUUUUCGAGAUAAUCAUCAAAACGGGGCUUUUUAACUCAAUUAUUGGUCUGCGGGUCCCAUUGCAAUUAUUACAAGAUAAGGAUGAAUAUAAUAAUCAAAAUAUCUCGUUUCACGCUUAUCGAGACAAACUGGAUAAUUAUCAACAAUUAAAAUACCCGAAAAACUCCGCCGGACCGACUCCGGGGAAAACCGUACUCCGGAUCGAAAAAGUCAAAACACGAAAAAUGUCCGGAAUAUUGAAAUUAGGUUAAAGGUAAGUUUUGUUGAAACUUCCGGAAAGAAAAUUUGCUACCUCGUUACGAGUGGACGGUUUUACGGAAGUCAAAUAAUUAAUAUAUAAAUAUAAAUAUACGCAAUUAAAU
Molecule: long non-coding RNA, 7190 nt
Filed under: Daucus carota (carrot)
Lineage: Eukaryota; Viridiplantae; Streptophyta; Magnoliopsida; Apiales; Apiaceae
Description: long non-coding RNA (DCAR_LNC002262)
Source: RNAcentral